GCGAAACUCUGACGGAGCAAUACCGCGUGAGGGAAGAAGGCCUGUGGGUUGUACCCCUUUUUUGUUAAGGAAGAUAAUGACGGUACCUGACAAUAAGCAUCGGCUAACUCCGUGCCAGCAGCCGCGGUAAGACGGAGGAUGCAAGCGUUAUUCCGGAAUUAUUGGGCGUAAAGCGUACGUAGGCUGUUUGAUAAGUCUGUUGUCAAAGCACGAGGCUCAACCUUGGAUCGGCAAUGGAAACUGUCAGACUAGAGAGAGAUAUGGCCAGGAAUUCCCGGUGUAGCGGUGAAAUGCGGAGCCUCAGAACACCAAGGUGACAACUGGG
Molecule: ribosomal RNA, 325 nt
Filed under: uncultured cyanobacterium
Lineage: Bacteria; Bacillati; Cyanobacteriota
Description: bacterial SSU rRNA
Rfam family: Bacterial small subunit ribosomal RNA
Source: RNAcentral